RNAcentral lists this ribosomal RNA (255 nucleotides) under uncultured bacterium. Its description in RNAcentral is "partial 16S ribosomal RNA". It matches the Rfam family "Bacterial small subunit ribosomal RNA", at positions 524 to 776 of the family's 1533-position model. The record is from RNAcentral.
UACAGAGGGUGCGAGCGUUGUUCGGAAUUACUAGGCGUAAAGCGCGCGUAGGUGGUCUUUUAAGUCCGACUGUGAAAUCCCGGGGCUCAACCCCGUGGGCUGCAGGGGAUACUGGGAGACUGGAGACACGUAGAGGCAAGCGGAAUUCCGGGUGUAGCGGUGGAAUGCGUAGAGAUCCGGAAGAACACCGGAGGCGAAGGCGGCUUGCUGGGCGUGAUCUGACGCUGAGGCGCGAAAGCGUGGGGAGCGAACAGG